UGUGGCAGUGACAUCAAACUGAUAGCUAGCUUUCUGCAGCUCUCAAGCAGGGUAAGCAGGGUUGUGCCUGGUUAGUACAUGGAUCAUGAAAGUCCACAUGGGAAAACUAGGUUGCUACUGGAA
RNAcentral lists this ribosomal RNA (123 nucleotides) under Danio rerio (zebrafish). Lineage: Eukaryota; Metazoa; Chordata; Actinopteri; Cypriniformes; Danionidae. The record is from RNAcentral.